Molecule: ribosomal RNA, 466 nt
Filed under: uncultured Klebsiella sp.
Lineage: Bacteria; Pseudomonadati; Pseudomonadota; Gammaproteobacteria; Enterobacterales; Enterobacteriaceae
Description: bacterial SSU rRNA
Rfam family: Bacterial small subunit ribosomal RNA
Source: RNAcentral
CCUACGGGGGGCUGCAGUGGGGAAUAUUGCACAAUGGGCGCAAGCCUGAUGCAGCCAUGCCGCGUGUGUGAAGAAGGCCUUCGGGUUGUAAAGCACUUUCAGCGGGGAGGAAGGCGUUAAGGUUAAUAACCUUGGCGAUUGACGUUACCCGCAGAAGAAGCACCGGCUAACUCCGUGGCCAGCAGCCGCGGUAAUACGGAGGGUGCAAGCGUUAAUCGGAAUUACUGGGCGUAAAGCGCACGCAGGCGGUCUGUCAAGUCGGAUGUGAAAUCCCCGGGCUCAACCUGGGAACUGCAUUCGAAACUGGCAGGCUAGAGUCUUGUAGAGGGGGGUAGAAUGCCAGGUGUAGCGGUGAAAUGCGUAGAGAUCUGGAGGAAUACCGGUGGCGAAGGCGGCCCCCUGGACAAAGACUGACGCUCAGGUGCGAAAGCGUGGGGAGCAAACAGGAUUAGAUACCCCAGGAGUC